AGGGUGUGUGGCAGACGCCACAGUCCAAGGGAUGCAUCUCAAUGGCCCCCACCAGUGUCCAUAUCAGCAUGCCUGGACCAGCUCAGAACAACGGCCCCCACCAGUGUCUCAGUCUCAGGAGAGGAUCCUCCUCUCACCAAGAUGCCCCCAGAGCCUACCAGUGUGAAAUCCAGAUUAAGAACAAACAUCACACAACUUGGAAAAGAUACCUGUGAAGUUCUUGUGAUCAGCAUCAUUAUAGACCUGUCAUCUGAAUCUCACUCCUGUUAUGGAAAUCCCUAAAAGUCUGAAUCUUGGUGAUAAGGAGGGCCCUGCUUCUCACUUUAGCAAUGAAGGAACCAGAUAUUUCCUCUCUACUCCCUGGCAACAAGCACUUGGAUAUAUGAAGCUGGUUUUGCCCUUGGAUGUUCUUGCCUUGGACUUGCAGCUGAGAGGAAUAUGGAUCUGAAGAUGUGAGUGACAGACAGAGAUUAUACCCUGUGGGAUGGGAUGGCAGAAUUGCAAGUACAGUGGCAGUGGUUACCAUGGGAGCAGAAAGAGUGGCACUGGUGAGUACCCCGUGCAGGUCGCCCCAGCUGUUGCCCUAGCUGACUAUGUCGGUGCUCUCUGCCACCAAGUCUCUCAUGGUUCCUACCUAUAUUCUAAGCCUGGUUCUUCAGGCUGCCUGUCACUUCUUUAUGAAUUGAUCCUUUAUCAUUAUGAAAUGUCCCUCUUUAUUUCUUGAAAUAUUCUUUGUUCUGAAACCUCCUUUGUCUGAUACUGAUACAGUCACUCUAGGAUUUUUUUUUGUUGGGGGGAUGAUAGAAAUAUUUAUUACCUUUAUUGUGGUGAUGGUUUUGUG
This 841-nucleotide long non-coding RNA is filed under the name Equus caballus (horse). Its description in RNAcentral is "lncRNA (ENSECAG00000054586.1)". Lineage: Eukaryota; Metazoa; Chordata; Mammalia; Perissodactyla; Equidae. The record is from RNAcentral.